This 206-nucleotide long non-coding RNA is filed under the name Carica papaya (papaya). RNAcentral describes it as "long non-coding RNA (CPAP_LNC004531)". Lineage: Eukaryota; Viridiplantae; Streptophyta; Magnoliopsida; Brassicales; Caricaceae. The record is from RNAcentral.
ACUGAGAUUAUACUUUUAUGUGUGUUAUCAUUUGAAAGUUGCGUUGAAUUGUAAUUAUUUUAAAAAAUAAUUAGCUAAUUUUAAUUGUACCCUUGGUGCUUGUCGAUUGGCACUGAAAUAUGAGGAAUUCAUCAAAGCAUCUGAUGAAAAGAGUAAGGAAGGGUAAGCUUUCAUACAUAAUUGACGUCAUAAAUCGAUUAACAUGU